RNAcentral lists this ribosomal RNA (325 nucleotides) under uncultured bacterium. RNAcentral's name for it is "bacterial SSU rRNA". It matches the Rfam family "Bacterial small subunit ribosomal RNA", at positions 28 to 355 of the family's 1533-position model. The record is from RNAcentral.
GAUGAACGCUGGCGGCGUGCUUAACACAUGCAAGUCGAGCGGUGAGGCCCCUUCAGGGGUACACGAGCGGCGAACGGGUGAGUAACACGUGAGGAACCUGCCCCCCUCUCUGGGAUAACUCCGGGAAACCGGAGCUAAUACCGGAUACUCCGGCGAGAUCGCAUGGUCCUGCCGGGAAAGCUCCGGCGGAGGGGGAUGGCCUCGCGGCCCAUUAGCUAGUUGGUGGGUUAACGGCCUACCAAGGCGACGAUGGGUAGCCGGCCUGAGAGGGCGGCCGGCCACACUGGGACUGAGACACGGCCCAGACUCCUACGGGAGCAGCAUG